UGAGCAAUCUGCCCUUCUCUUCGGAAUAAGCGUUGGAAACGACGUCUAAUGCCGAAUACGACCUCCUUUCGCAUGAUCGGAGGUGGAAAGC
RNAcentral lists this ribosomal RNA (91 nucleotides) under uncultured bacterium. RNAcentral's name for it is "partial 16S ribosomal RNA". The record is from RNAcentral.